This 405-nucleotide ribosomal RNA is filed under the name Triticum aestivum (bread wheat). RNAcentral's name for it is "partial small subunit ribosomal RNA". Lineage: Eukaryota; Viridiplantae; Streptophyta; Magnoliopsida; Poales; Poaceae. The record is from RNAcentral.
AUGUGUGUACCCAAGAACCAAGGAGGAAUGGGUUUUCAGGAUAUCCAUUGUUUCAAUUUGGCUAUGCUUGCUAAACAGGCUUGGCGUCUUAUCGAGAAUCUGGAUUCUCUAUGUGCUACUAUUUUGAGAGUCAAAUACUAUCCUGACGGUGACCUGUUGAACACUGACCUGAAGAAGGGUUUUUCCUUCACCUGGCAAAGUAUUAUGGCGGGUGUGAGCUCCAUGAAGCGUGGUCAUAUUUGGCGAGUGGGUAAUGGGCAAAAUAUUGACAUUUGGGAGGAUGCAUGGAUUCCAAAUUGUGCAAACCAUAAAAUUGUUACCCCUAAGGGAGGCCAGUUGUUACGGAAGGUAGCAGAUUUGAUUGAUCCAAUCCUAAAUAGUUGGGAUGAAGAUCUCCUCAGAUAG